This 433-nucleotide ribosomal RNA is filed under the name uncultured bacterium. RNAcentral's name for it is "partial 16S ribosomal RNA". It matches the Rfam family "Bacterial small subunit ribosomal RNA", at positions 29 to 507 of the family's 1533-position model. The record is from RNAcentral.
AACGAACGCUGGCGGCAUGCCUAACACAUGCAAGUCGAACGAGACCUUCGGGUCUAGUUGCGCUCCGGUGCGUACCGCCUGGUAACCUACCCUUAGGUUCGCUAUCCCUCCCCGAAAGAGAUGCUCAUACAAGAUAAUGUCUUCGGACCAAAGAUUUCUCGCCUCUGGAUGGGCCCUCGUUGGUUUCGCCGGUUGGUAGGGUACAAGCAUACCAAGGCGACGAUCCAGAGCUGGUCUGUGAGGAUGAUCAGCCCGACUGGCACUGAGACACGGCCCAGACUCCUACGGGAGGGAGGAGUGGGGAAUAUUAGACGAUGGGCGAAAGCCUGAUCAAGCAAUGUCGCGGGAGUGGUGAAGGCCUUAGGGUUGUAAAGCUCUUUUAGCCGGGAUGAGAAUGACAGUAACGGGAGAAGAAGCGCCGGCUAACUCCGUG